Molecule: long non-coding RNA, 312 nt
Filed under: Gossypium barbadense (sea-island cotton)
Lineage: Eukaryota; Viridiplantae; Streptophyta; Magnoliopsida; Malvales; Malvaceae
Description: long non-coding RNA (GBAR_LNC014088)
Source: RNAcentral
GGUUCAGAGGGCAGUAUGCAUGAUCUCUAACUCUACCAGUGUUGCGGAAGUGUUUUCUCGCAUUGACCACAAAUUCGAUCUCAUGUAUGCCAAACGUGCCUUCGUGCACUGGUAUGUUGGUGAAGGCAUGGAAGAAGGAGAGUUCUCAGAGGCUCGUGAGGACCUUGCUGCCCUGGAAAAAGAUUAUGAGGAAGUUGGAGCUGACUCUGCCGAAGGAGAUGAAGAGGAUGAGGGAGAUGAGUACUGAGCGAAGGUCAGGGACGACUACACCUUUACGACUAUGAUGUUGCUUUGGAUUUUCAAUGUUUUUUU